Molecule: long non-coding RNA, 684 nt
Organism: Physeter macrocephalus (sperm whale)
Lineage: Eukaryota; Metazoa; Chordata; Mammalia; Artiodactyla; Physeteridae
Exons: 4
Source: RefSeq, a predicted model, not a curated record
CGUUGAGUCCUGAGUCGGGGCCGAAGGGAAUGGAACAGGCGAGGAGAGGCGUUGGCCCCGGUGCCCAGAGGCGGCUCUGAGGCCCCCUGAGCCCGUAGUUGACUGCGGUGCCCUCGUUCCCGCCCCGCCCACCGCCUCUUCCGGCUCCGUUCUUCCCACCGGCCGGUGACCCCGGUGACCGAGGCUUCGCCGAUGAGGCUGGCUCAGGUCUGGAGCCACCUCUUUGGAAAGAAAACAUCAAGGAAGAUGGUGCCUCCGUCUCCCAGUUGCUGCAGUAGGCGUCAGGUCCUACCUUUCGGGUCAUAAAGACACAGAUGGGAAGUUCUAGGAUUGCUUCGGAUAAAGGUGAAGAGCUCCUGCAGAGCAUCACUCGAAUUCCCAGGCACAUUUAGGAUAAACUAACAAAUGGGGCAAUCAAGUCCUCUCACCUGAAGGCAAUUACCAAUAAAAAGACAUUUAAUCAAAGAAGACAAUACACCUGGAAAAUGAAUACAGGAAUGUUCAACAUCAUGAAUCACUAGAGAAAUGCAUCAGACCACAGUGAGGCAUGUAUCCACACUUUUAAAACAGAGAGCCCUUCACUCUACCCCAGGAGGCCUUGGACAACAACGCAAAAUGGACCAGAACUGGAGUGAAAACUAUUCUCUGCCAUGAUACUACCCCCACUGAUGUAUACUAAGUUUG